CCUACGGGGGGCUGCAGUAAGGAAUAUUGGUCAAUGGACGAAAGUCUGAACCAGCCAUGCCGCGUGGAGGAUGAAGGUCCUCUGGAUUGUAAACUUCUUUUAUAUGGGACGAAAAAAGGGUUUUCUAACUCACUUGACGGUACCAUAUGAAUAAGCACCGGCUAACUCCGUGCCAGCAGCCGCGGUAAUACGGAGGGUGCAAGAGUUAUCCGGAUUCACUGGGUUGAAGGGGGGCUGGUAAGGCUGUGUAGAAAUCCCCGAGCUUAACUCGGGAGCUGCCAUUGAUACUAUCAGGCUUGAAGACCGUGGAGGUCAGCGGAAUAUGUCAUGUAGCGGUGAAAUGCUUAGAUAUGACAUAGAACACCAAUUGCGAAGGCAGCUGGCUACGCGAAUAUUGACACUGAGGCUCGAAAGCGUGGGGAUCAAACAGGAUUAGAUACCCCAGUAGUC
This 450-nucleotide ribosomal RNA is filed under the name uncultured bacterium. RNAcentral's name for it is "partial 16S ribosomal RNA". It matches the Rfam family "Bacterial small subunit ribosomal RNA", at positions 338 to 795 of the family's 1533-position model. The record is from RNAcentral.